This is a long non-coding RNA of Tympanuchus pallidicinctus (lesser prairie-chicken), 467 nucleotides long. RefSeq lists it as uncharacterized. The record is from RefSeq and is a predicted model, not a curated record. The transcript has 3 exons. NCBI's taxonomy places the organism in Eukaryota, Metazoa, Chordata, Aves, Galliformes, Phasianidae.
GCACAAGCAAUAUGUGACUGGAAGGGGUGAAACAGGAUCUAUCAAUUUCUAGACUUCAUUUAAGGGAUGGCUGUGGAGCUCAGCUGUCCACUGUUUCUGGGGGAAGAAAAUGCACCUGUGAGUGCAUUUGGAUAUUCUUAGUACUGUCUGUUAUAGCAGUCUUCAGCAAUUUUGGAACCAUUUUCACCAAAGGGGAGCAGGAGAAAAGAGGAAUGAAGACUCCAGAGCAAAAUCAUCAGAUUAUCUUGCAGGAAUAUCUGAAAGGAGAAGAGUGAGAAGUUUCCUAGAAGGCAGUUUCGGGGUCCUGUAUCCAAUGUGAUGUUAGCUUUAAGGUUUCCUUGACCUUGAAAAGGUCAAUCUUUAGGCGGUUGAGCUGAAAGGCUGAAAGAAGUUGUGUUUUGCUAUCGAGUUGCAGGACUAACUGUUAAUCUUUUGCUUCUCCAUAAAUUAAAAAAAAAAAAAAAGAA